AGAGUUUGAUCAUGGCUCAGAAUGAACGCUGGCGGCGCGCCUAAUACAUGCAAGUCGAGCGAGAAGACGUAGCAAUACGUUUGUAAAGCGGCGAACGGGUGAGGAAUACAUGGGUAACCUACCCUCGAGUGGGGAAUAACUAGCCGAAAAGGUUAGCUAAUACCGCGUACGCUUCUUGGACUUCGGUUCAGGGAGGAAAGCGAUACCGUGGGUAUCGCGCUCUUGGAUGGGCUCAUGUCCUAUCAGCUUGUUGGUGAGGUAACGGCUCACCAAGGCUUCGACGGGUAGCUGGUCUGAGAGGACGAUCAGCCACACUGGCACUGCGACACGGGCCAGACUCCUACGGGAGGCAGCAGUAAGGAAUAUUGCGCAAUGGGCGAAAGCCUGACGCAGCGACGCCGCGUGGGGGAUGAAGGUCUUCGGAUUGUAAACCCCUUUCGGGAGGGAAGAUGGAAUGGGGUAACCCAUUCGGACGGUACCUCCAGAAGCAGCCACGGCUAACUUCGUGCCAGCAGCCGCGGUAAUACGAAGGUGGCAAGCGUUAUUCGGAUUUACUGGGCGUACAGGGAGCGUAGGCGGUUCGGUAAGCCCUCUGUGAAAUCUUCAGGCUUAACCUGGAAAAGUCGGAGGGGACUGCCGGGCUAGAGGACGGGAGAGGAGCGCGGAAUUCCCGGUGUAGCGGUGAAAUGCGUAGAGAUCGGGAGGAAGGCCGGUGGCGAAGCGGCGCUCUGGAACGUUUCUGACGCUGAGGCUCGAAAGCGUGGGGAGCAAACAGGAUUAGAUACCCUAGUAGUCC
RNAcentral lists this ribosomal RNA (796 nucleotides) under uncultured bacterium. Its description in RNAcentral is "bacterial SSU rRNA". It matches the Rfam family "Bacterial small subunit ribosomal RNA", at positions 8 to 796 of the family's 1533-position model. The record is from RNAcentral.